RNAcentral lists this non-coding RNA (26 nucleotides) under Homo sapiens (human). The record is from RNAcentral. Lineage: Eukaryota; Metazoa; Chordata; Mammalia; Primates; Hominidae.
UGCCUUGGUGAUAUUGCAGGCGGUCC